Molecule: transfer RNA, 85 nt
Organism: Felis catus (domestic cat)
Lineage: Eukaryota; Metazoa; Chordata; Mammalia; Carnivora; Felidae
Rfam family: tRNA
About the family: Transfer RNA (tRNA) molecules are approximately 80 nucleotides in length. Their secondary structure includes four short double-helical elements and three loops (D, anti-codon, and T loops). Further hydrogen bonds mediate the characteristic L-shaped molecular structure. tRNAs have two regions of fundamental functional importance: the anti-codon, which is responsible for specific mRNA codon recognition, and the 3' end, to which the tRNAs corresponding amino acid is attached (by aminoacyl-tRNA synthetases). tRNAs cope with the degeneracy of the genetic code in two manners: having more than one tRNA (with a specific anti-codon) for a particular amino acid; and 'wobble' base-pairing, i.e. permitting non-standard base-pairing at the 3rd anti-codon position.
Source: Rfam
GCCUGGGUGGCUCAGUCAGUUGAGCGUCUGACUUCAGCUCAGGUCAUGAUCUCGCUGUUCGUGGGUUCCAGCCCCGCAUCGGGCU